CAGUCGCCGCGGGAAUACGAAAGGGGCUAGCGUUGUUCGGAUUUACUGGGCGUAAAGGGCGCGUAGGCGGGCGAUUAAGUCAGAGGUGAAAUCCCAAGGCUCAACCUUGGAACUGCCUUUGAUACUGGUUGUCUUGAGUCCGGGAGAGGUGAGUGGAACUGCGAGUGUAGAGGUGAAAUUCGUAGAUACUCGCAAGAACACCAGUGGCGAAGGCGACUCACUGACCCGGAACUGACGCUGAGGCGCGAAAGCGUGGGGAGCAAACAGGAUUAGAUACCCGUGUAGUCCCUGUCUCUUAUAC
This 301-nucleotide ribosomal RNA is filed under the name uncultured bacterium. RNAcentral's name for it is "partial 16S ribosomal RNA". It matches the Rfam family "Bacterial small subunit ribosomal RNA", at positions 509 to 807 of the family's 1533-position model. The record is from RNAcentral.